This 354-nucleotide unclassified non-coding RNA is filed under the name soil metagenome. RNAcentral describes it as "partial contains 5.8S ribosomal RNA, internal transcribed spacer 2, and large subunit ribosomal RNA". The stretch from base 1 to 120 matches the Rfam family "5.8S ribosomal RNA", at positions 35 to 154 of the family's 154-position model. The record is from RNAcentral.
GAUGAAGAACGCAGCGAAACGCGAUAUGUAAUGUGAAUUGCAGAAUUCAGUGUAUCAUCGAAUCUUUGAACGCACAUGGCGCCUUCCAGUAUCCUGGGAGGCAUGCCUGUCCGAGCGUCGUUUCAACCCUCGAGCCCCCGUGGCCCGGCGUUGGGGAUCUGCCCAGGCAGUCCCCGAAAACCAGUGGCGGACCCGUUACAGGCCCUUCCCUUGCGUAGUAGCAUUCGCCUCGCAUCGGGAGCCGGCGGGCUUCCAGCCUCUAAACCCCCAUCAAGUCCGCCCCGGCGGCACCAAGGUUGACCUCGGAUCAGGUAGGAAUACCCGCUGAACUUAAGCAUAUCAAUAAGCGGAGGA